RNAcentral lists this ribosomal RNA (305 nucleotides) under uncultured bacterium. RNAcentral's name for it is "bacterial SSU rRNA". It matches the Rfam family "Bacterial small subunit ribosomal RNA", at positions 335 to 657 of the family's 1533-position model. The record is from RNAcentral.
AGACCUACGGGACGCAGCAGUGGGGAAUAUUGCACAAUGGGGGAAACCCUGAUGCAACGACGCCGCGUGAGUGAAGAAGUAUUUCGGUACGUAAAGCUCUAUCAGCAGGGAAGAAAAUGACGGUACCUGACUAAGAAGCCCCGGCUAACUACGUGCCAGCAGCCGCGGUAAUACGUAGGGGGCAAGCGUUAUCCGGAUUUACUGGGUGUAAAGGGAGCGUAGGUGGCAGGGCAAGUCAGAUGUGAAAACCCGGGGCUCAACUCCGGGAGUGCAUUUGAAACUGUCCAGCUAGAGUGCAGGAGAGG